This 496-nucleotide ribosomal RNA is filed under the name uncultured bacterium. Its description in RNAcentral is "partial 16S ribosomal RNA". It matches the Rfam family "Bacterial small subunit ribosomal RNA", at positions 28 to 506 of the family's 1533-position model. The record is from RNAcentral.
GAUGAACGCUGGCGGCGUGCCUAAUACAUGCAAGUCGAGCGAACGGACGAGAAGCUUGCUUCUCUGAUGUUAGCGGCGGGCGGGUGAGUAACACGUGGAUAACCUACCUAUAAGACUGGGAUAACUUCGGGAAACCGGAGCUAAUACCGGAUAAUAUUUUGAACCGCAUGGUUCAAAAGUGAAAGACGGUCUUGCUGUCACUUAUAGAUGGAUCCGCGCUGCAUUAGCUAGUUGGUAAGGUAACGGCUUACCAAGGCAACGAUGCAUAGCCGACCUGAGAGGGUGAUCGGCCACACUGGAACUGAGACACGGUCCAGACUCCUACGGGAGGCAGCAGUAGGGAAUCUUCCGCAAUGGGCGAAAGCCUGACGGAGCAACGCCGCGUGAGUGAUGAAGGUCUUCGGAUCGUAAAACUCUGUUAUUAGGGAAGAACAUAUGUGUAAGUAACUGUGCACAUCUUGACGGUACCGAAGCAGAAAGCCACGGCUAACUACGG